UAGAGUUUGAUCAUGGCUCAGAACGAACGCUGGCGGCAGGCUUAACACAUGCAAGUCGAGCGCUCUCUUCGGAGGGAGCGGCGGACGGGUUAGUAACGCGUGGGAACAUACCCUUUGGUACGGAAUAGCCUCUGGAAACGGAGAGUAAUACCGUAUGAGCCCUUCGGGGGAAAGAUUUAUCGCCAAAGGAUUGGCCCGCGUUAGAUUAGGUAGUUGGUGGGGUAAUGGCCUACCAAGCCUACGAUCUAUAGCUGGUUUUAGAGGAUGAUCAGCAACACUGGGACUGAGACACGGCCCAGACUCCUACGGGAGGCAGCAGUGGGGAAUCUUGGACAAUGGGCGCAAGCCUGAUCCAGCCAUGCCGCGUGAGUGAUGAAGGCCUUAGGGUCGUAAAGCUCUUUCGCCUGUGAAGAUAAUGACGGUAGCAGGUAAAGAAACCCCGGCUAACUCCGUGCCAGCAGCCGCGGUAAUACGGAGGGGGUUAGCGUUGUUCGGAAUUACUGGGCGUAAAGCGCACGUAGGCGGACUGGAAAGUUGGGGGUGAAAUCCCAGGGCUCAACCCUGGAACUGCCUCCAAAACUAUCAGUCUAGAGUUCGAGAGAGGUGAGUGGAAUUCCGAGUGUAGAGGUGAAAUUCGUAGAUAUUCGGAGGAACACCAGUGGCGAAGGCGGCUCACUGGCUCGAUACUGACGCUGAGGUGCGAAAGUGUGGGGAGCAAACAGGAUUAGAUACCCUGGUAGUCCACACCGUAAACGAUGAAUGCCAGUCGUCGGGUAGCAUGCUAUUCGGUGACACACCUAACGGAUUAAGCAUUCCGCU
Molecule: ribosomal RNA, 819 nt
Filed under: Ruegeria sp.
Lineage: Bacteria; Pseudomonadati; Pseudomonadota; Alphaproteobacteria; Rhodobacterales; Roseobacteraceae
Description: bacterial SSU rRNA
Rfam family: Bacterial small subunit ribosomal RNA
Source: RNAcentral